UGGAGGGCAAGUCUGGUGCCAGCAGCCGCGGUAAUUCCAGCUCCAAUAGCGUAUAUUAAAGUUGUUGCAGUUAAAAAGCUCGUAGUUGGAUUUCUGUUAAUACUUUAUAUAUUAUAUCUUGUAUAUUUAUAUAAUAUUAACAUCAUUCAUAUUACUUUUUUAGUAUAUGAGAUUUUACUUUGAGAAAAUUAGAGUGCUUAAAGCAGGCUUUUGCCUUGAAUACUCCAGCAUGGAAUAAUAUUAAAGAUUUUUAUCUUUCUUAUUGGUUCUAAGAUAAGAAUAAUGAUUAAUAGGGACAGUUGGGGGCAUUUGUAUUUAACAGUCAGAGGUGAAAUUCUUAGAUUUGUUAAAGACAAACUAGUGCGAAAGCAUUUGCCAAGGAUGUUUUCAUUAAUCAAGAACGAAAGUUAGGGGAUCGAAGACGAUCAGAUACCGUCGUAGUCUUAACCAUAAACUAUGCCA
Molecule: ribosomal RNA, 462 nt
Filed under: Cryptosporidium sp.
Lineage: Eukaryota; Apicomplexa; Conoidasida; Eucoccidiorida; Cryptosporidiidae
Description: SSU rRNA
Rfam family: Eukaryotic small subunit ribosomal RNA
Source: RNAcentral